UCUUUGUUGCCGUCUUGUUUCAUUGAGCUUCAUAAGCAACAGUUGAUGUUAACUCCAUGGGAGCAGAUACUUAAAUCAGCUCAAAAUGUGCUCUUCAAUGAAGAACUGUUUGCACAGAUUGUACAAUCAUUUGUGAUGAGGAACUUGUAUUAUAUAAUGUGAAACUGCACAAGAGGAAAGGUCGUGACUAGUGGGUGGGUCAUUGAAACUUAUCGCUAUAAAGAAAAACUACUCACACAAGUCACGUAUCUUGUACAGGGGGUG
Amphimedon queenslandica is the source of this 264-nucleotide long non-coding RNA. RefSeq lists it as uncharacterized. Lineage: Eukaryota; Metazoa; Porifera; Demospongiae; Haplosclerida; Niphatidae. The record is from RefSeq and is a predicted model, not a curated record. The transcript has 3 exons.